Molecule: ribosomal RNA, 335 nt
Filed under: Acinetobacter baumannii
Lineage: Bacteria; Pseudomonadati; Pseudomonadota; Gammaproteobacteria; Moraxellales; Moraxellaceae
Description: bacterial SSU rRNA
Rfam family: Bacterial small subunit ribosomal RNA
Source: RNAcentral
GGAACUCAAAGGAGACUGCCAGUGAUAAACUGGAGGAAGGUGGGGAUGACGUCAAGUCAUCAUGGCCCUUACGGCCAGGGCUACACACGUGCUACAAUGGCAUAUACAAAGAGAAGCGACCUCGCGAGAGCAAGCGGACCUCAUAAAGUAUGUCGUAGUCCGGAUUGGAGUCUGCAACUCGACUCCAUGAAGUCGGAAUCGCUAGUAAUCGUAGAUCAGAAUGCUACGGUGAAUACGUUCCCGGGCCUUGUACACACCGCCCGUCACACCAUGGGAGUGGGUUGCAAAAGAAGUAGGUAGCUUAACCUUCGGGAGGGCGCUUACCACUUUGUGAU